Non-coding RNA from Pantherophis guttatus, 2705 nucleotides. The record is from RefSeq and is a predicted model, not a curated record. NCBI's taxonomy places the organism in Eukaryota, Metazoa, Chordata, Lepidosauria, Squamata, Colubridae.
UGCAACUUGGAAAUAUUUCCAAUAUUGGGAGUGGAGGGAACUGUGUAAGUCAGCCUCAACUUCCUGAAGACAAAGACAUGUGUCAUAUGUGUGGAACAGUUCUGCUAUCCCAAAAGUUGUGCAUGCAGGUUUGACUAAGAUUGGAUGGCUGCUUUAAUUUCAAUCUAGUUGCCGAAAUGAUUUUGCAGAUGGACCAUUCAGAAGGAGCAGUGAUGCAAAUAGGGGAGCUGUCUCGAGGAAUAAGCAACCUCACGACAAUGCUAAGCCAAGAUCAGAUGCUAAACAACGAUCAAUUUUUAACAUCAACUUUUGAGGACUGGAGAUGAAGAUGCCACAGGAAUAACACUUCAGUCCUUUCCUAUUAUGACAGAAAACUGAUGCAGGCUGAAUGCUAUACCUAAAAAUGCAUCAUUUUCUUUGCUAUUAAAAUAUGUGAAAGGUCAAUGUGCUUUUUAAAAAUGUACACACAUACACAGAUAAACUCUCUGGUCUAGGUAAUUAAGACAUGCAUUUAAAGAACUAUGCAAUUUUUCUAGAAAUUUGGAAAUCAAAGAUCUGUUGAUCACUUAUUUUAAUCACUAUGAACAUAUUUAACAGUGAUCCCUUUUUCUAUAUUUUGUAAUUUUAAGAUUUGGUUAUGGUGCAAUGGAACUGCAAUAGACUUCAAAGCUGUAGCUAUUUAUUGUCAGUGUAGUUUGUGCAAUGAUUUAUAUUGAAUCUAACUGAAAAUGUGAUUCCUUUAUGUAUUAAAAUGUGUUCACUGGUUCAAAAGAUACCAUGAUCAAGAGGACCUGAUGACUCCAUAGGCACAUCCAUGCAGCUGUCUUUGAAACAGUAUAGAAAUCUUUUGCCAUUGCUUUUUCAUUUUUUUUAAUGUAGAAACCUAGUCUACAAUCUCGGUAUUCCCUGGUGUUCUCCUAUCCAAGAAUUAACCAGGUCUGGUCCUGUUUGAUUUUCAAAGUUGGACAAUAUUAACCCAGUGCUACCACCAAUUUACACGCUCACUGUUUUCUUCAGGACUUUGACUAGUUGCUAUGAGUAUCAACUACUGAGUACUAGAAGCUCCCAAUAUUUGAUGAAGAAAUCAUUCCUAUCCUCUUUGUAAUCAUUCUUGUCUUCCAUCUUGCUAAUUUUGAACUAUACACACAAUCUACAACAAGUAGCCUUAUUAUCCGGGUUAAGCGGUGACAGGUUAACAAAAAAACUUCCAUUAGCUAUUUGUUUAUAUAACAUUUCAUUGUUGUAGUGUGAUAGAAACUGUGGGAAAGUCAGAGGUGAUUGUGCUUUGUUCAAGGGUUUAAAUGGGUGUAUUAAUUCAUGCAACAUCAAAAAUACAUUGUAAUAAAUUCUACAUUUCGUUUGACUUACAAAAUCAAAGGAAAUACACAACAGCAUGUUGGCAUAGGCUUUCACAGCUGGCAUCAAUGAAGCAGUGAUAACUGUUCUGGCAGUAUGGCUGGCUGGGGAAUUCUGGAAAUUAAAGUCCAUAAGUAUUAAAUGUUGCCAAGGUUGGAAACCCCAAUCCUAGACCAUAGCCAUACAGCCAGAAAGCUCAUCACUGCUUUAUACACAAUUGCCUUGCAGAUCAGUUUAUUUGUCCUAAUCAGCUAAAAAUUCUUUGAAACAUUCUAUAGAUUGAAUUGGAAGCAUGAGAAACAAUGAAGGGACCAAGCAAAUGCCCACAGUUGGACUUCUUUCUCUGUCAUCCCACUUAUUUUUCAGUGCAGAAAAUUCUUCAAGUCAUUUCCCAACUAUUAAAUUGUAAUAUUUCCUUAAAUUAUAGUAAUUGAGAGAAAAAUGUUUUGUCAGAAAAGAACCAACCUCUUCAAACUUACCAGUUUUCAAUACUAAAAACACCUUCAAAAUCCAUAGCUAGAUACCAAGAUUUUGUAAAAAAUAUAUGACAAUUUAGGGUGAAUUUAUAAUUACAUCUAAACCACCAAAAUCUCUGAUUUGGAGUAUCCAAGUUUACCAUUUAAAUUCAGGUAGAAAUAUUAGUAAUAUUUCAGCAGUGUGUGUAAACAGCUUUCCAAAUAAGGGGAAUACUGUUACUAAUUAGAAUCUGACAUGGUAUUCUUUCUUAUCUCUAACAGAAUUGUUCUGUUGUCUGUUUCAGUUUCCUUUUGAAAUGAGAUAAAUGGGCACACCUCAACACUAUUCUCUUUCAGAACUGAUUUGGGGGGUGGGGUAAUUGGCCACUCUCUGAAUAUCUUUUUUUUUUUUUUUUGCAGAAAUAUUUGCCAAUCUGUCCUAAAAGGCUUUCAGCAAUCUAUAGUUUAAAUUAAAAGGCUUGUAACAAUUCUAAUGCAACCUUGUUCAUCUAACUAUCUUUAUACAAGUUUGCCACCUACUGGUGACAAAAUUCCUUGUUUGCCAAAUACAUUCCCAAUAUAAGUUGUUACUAAUAUAAGCACAGCCUUUUUCUUCCUGCAAAAAUAUUAACCCGAAGAUAGCAACAAAUUUAUACUGCGACACCAGCCAGUUUUCAGUUAAAUAACAAGGCUUUGAAUAUUAUAAUCACUUGUAGAUGUGGCUCAAUAUUCAUCCAGAAGCUGUCCCUUUCAGACCUACGAUCAUUUUGAACAUACUUUUAUUUGAUGUAAAGGUAUAAAUUCUGGAUCUAAAAUAUUGCAUGUUCUAAUCUCAAGCUUUAUUGUACAUUUUUUUAAAAAAAUAAUUGCAUUAAAGCAUGUAUACGGGUGUUA